CAGUCGCCGCGGUAAUACAGAGGGUGCGAGCGUUAAUCGGAUUUACUGGGCGUAAAGCGUGCGUAGGCGGCUUCUUAAGUCGGAUGUGAAAUCCCUGAGCUUAACUUAGGAAUUGCAUUCGAUACUGGGAAGCUAGAGUAUGGGAGAGGAUGGUAGAAUUCCAGGUGUAGCGGUGAAAUGCGUAGAGAUCUGGAGGAAUACCGAUGGCGAAGGCAGCCAUCUGGCCUAAUACUGACGCUGAGGUACGAAAGCAUGGGGAGCAAACAGGAUUAGAGACCCCAGUAGUCCCUGUCUCUUAUAA
Molecule: ribosomal RNA, 301 nt
Filed under: uncultured bacterium
Lineage: Bacteria
Description: partial 16S ribosomal RNA
Rfam family: Bacterial small subunit ribosomal RNA
Source: RNAcentral